GAGAAAACCAGUCCUUAACAGGAGCAGAAUGCUGGAGGGUUACUGAAGGAUGAAUGUAAAUUUAUCCUCCCAGUGAUUUGGAGGACAAGUCAUUGAUGCAUAUAAAGAAAAGUUGUUUUAUUUUUUAGGUGAGAAACAAUGAGAGACUCCAAGAGCUAGAAGUUCAUGCUGCUCAAAAGGCAGAACAAAUGCCAAGAUGUGUAUCCAAGUGGUCUUUGGGAAAGUGUCAUGAAGAGAGAUUAGUACACAGCCUUAACUAUUCACCUGGAUAUACAGCUAGAGACUUGUCCUUCUCCACUGCAACCCAGAGGAGGUCCUGCAUAAGCAGUUGAGAACACAAUAUAUAACUGCAUGUUCUGUGAUGUCCAGGAGUUCUUUACGAGGAGUCCACAUCCAGCUCGUGGCAUGUUUCCUAUGCGUUGGCUGUCUCCAUUAAUUCCCCCUCUCCAGCUAAAUCAAUGUUUCUGUAUGCUGUCAGCACAUAAAGGAAUGCUUUUUUUAAAAU
Molecule: long non-coding RNA, 505 nt
Filed under: Vulpes vulpes (red fox)
Lineage: Eukaryota; Metazoa; Chordata; Mammalia; Carnivora; Canidae
Description: lncRNA (ENSVVUG00000014152.1)
Source: RNAcentral